RNAcentral lists this ribosomal RNA (432 nucleotides) under uncultured fungus. Its description in RNAcentral is "SSU rRNA". It matches the Rfam family "Eukaryotic small subunit ribosomal RNA", at positions 1117 to 1570 of the family's 1831-position model. Lineage: Eukaryota; Fungi. The record is from RNAcentral.
GNGGGGGAGUAUGGUCGCAAGGCUGAAGCUUNAAGAAAUUGACGGAAGGGCNCCACCAGGGGUGGAGCCUGCGGCUUAAUUUGACUCAANACGGGGAAACUCACCAGGGUCCAGACACAAUGAGGAUUGACAGAUUGAGAGCUCUUUCUUGAUUUUGUGGGUGGUGGUGCAGGGCCGUUCUUAGUUGGUGGAGUGAUUUGUCUGCUUAAUUGCGAUAACGAGCGAGACCUUAACCUGCUAAAUAGCCCGUAUUGCUUUGGCAGUACGCUGGCUUCUUAGAGGGACUAUCGGCUCAAGCCGAUGGAAGUUUGAGGCAAUAACAGGUCUGUGAUGCCCUUAGAUGUUCUGGGCCGCACGCGCGCUACACUGACGGAGCCAGCGAGUACUUCCUUGUCCGAAAGGUCCGGGUAAUCUUGUUAAACUCCGUCGUGC